Non-coding RNA from Xyrauchen texanus (razorback sucker), 75 nucleotides. The record is from the annotation of a RefSeq genome assembly. NCBI's taxonomy places the organism in Eukaryota, Metazoa, Chordata, Actinopteri, Cypriniformes, Catostomidae.
CACAGCUCUGUGGUGAAGAACACACAUAAAAUUGCAAAUCUUAAGACGCAGACUAACCUCUGCCGGGGCUUUUCU